UUGUGGGGAUGGAGAAUACAUUAUAUAUACAGCUUUGGCCUGGAGAAAUAGAUCCUUUGGUUCAGCAUUGGAAUUUGUUUGGUCAUCAGAUGAAGAAUAUGCAGUUAGGGAAAGUAUAUCAAGGAUUAAGAUUUUUGAGAACACAUAUAACAAUGGUGAAGGUUGUUGCUGUUCUUAAUAGCAAGGAGGGAGUUAGUGGCACUGUGUACUUCACUUAGGAAGGACAUGGCCCAACUACAGUGAUCGGAAGCCUCUAUGGUCUUAAACCUGGGCCCCAUGGCUUCCAUGUCCAUGCUCUUGGUGACACAACAAAUGGCUGUUUGUCCAUACUCUUUUACAUUUAGUCUCUAUAUUAUUAUUUUUUUCUUUUUGUUGAUUGUCCUAUUGAUGAUCAAUUACAAGUAAUAUAUAGCCAAUGGUCCUGUGUGCAAUGGGAAGAAGUUUGAUGUUAUUUUUUAAUGGAGAAGAGCAGUAAUAUUGGUCUUCAUUUUUUUAAUUGGUAAAAGUUACAUGCAUUUUGAGGUUUUAGGAGUUUAAACUGACACCCUUUUGUUUUCUUUUGUAUUGAUUUUUGGGGAUGGAUUUGCCAUUACAGCUGGAGGUAACCAAAAUUUACAUAUUCUUCUUUUUUGGUUAUACACAGGUUUGGGUAUAUGCUUUAGGUUAUAUAUAUAUAUAUAUAUAUAUAUAUAUAUAUAUAUAUAUAUAUAUAUAUAUAUAUAUAUAAUUCUUUAAGUGGAACUUUUGAUAGGGUGAUACUAAAGGACCUGCCAAGGCUGGCGACGGAUUUGGCAAAAAGGAUGUGGUUGCAGUGCAGCCUGGCCCUAGUAACCAAAUUGCUCAUCAGGGUUCUUUUACUCAAGGAAUGAGCUAUAUGCAUUCUCAGGUAAAGAUUUCUUCUCAAUAUCAGUUGCAUACUGAAAAUAUAAAUCUUGAAAUUUGAUAUUGUAUAUACUGUUCAGUGGCAUUUUUUUAUGGAUGCAAAAAUUUUUUCUUCAAAGGGCAUAAAGACUUCAUUUUGUAGGAAGCUAAAUCCUUGGAGAAAGAUUCUAUUUGUCACAUUUGGGCAUGGGAAAUGUGAUGUUGUUGAAUCCAUAAAAUUUGUUUGGAUACUGGGAAAGAAUUGAAAGGAAUUCUAUGGUGCAGGUACCUAUUUAUAAAAAAAAUUCAAAGAAGUGACAGUUGGGAAGGAAUCCAUUUGCUUGGAAUUUCCAAUUGAACUUGUGGCUAGGAAAAAAAAAACAA
This is a long non-coding RNA of Magnolia sinica, 1245 nucleotides long. RefSeq lists it as uncharacterized. The record is from RefSeq and is a predicted model, not a curated record. Lineage: Eukaryota; Viridiplantae; Streptophyta; Magnoliopsida; Magnoliales; Magnoliaceae. The transcript has 2 exons.